Molecule: long non-coding RNA, 2633 nt
Organism: Rhopalosiphum maidis (corn leaf aphid)
Lineage: Eukaryota; Metazoa; Arthropoda; Insecta; Hemiptera; Aphididae
Exons: 16
Source: RefSeq, a predicted model, not a curated record
CCAGUGUUAUAUGAUAUUUUGAUUAAAUAUACAAAACUCUGAUUCCAUUAAAAUAAUAAAACGUCUAAAGCAUGCUUAUUACAUUAAGUAGUUUUUAUACUUUUUACAUUUAACCAACCAAUAAAAUAUAAAUGGUAGGAUUUACAUUUAAACUUCCAUCCUUUAUACUCAAUAAAUUGACAAUUUCUUUCUAGAUACCAAUACCGCGGAUUGUCAAUGUAAGCUGAGAAUGGAUCUUGCAUUUGUAAUACCAGUGAAACUACUAAUAUUCUAUCUACGUUGAAGAUGAACGAUAACAAUUACAUAAACAUCAAUGAUUUAUUGCAAUUUCUAUUGUAAAGAUUAUUGAUUAUACCAGUACCGCGGAUUGUCAAUGUAAGCUGGGCAUGGAUCUUGCAUUUGUAAUACCUGUGAAACUACUAAUAUUCUAUCUACGUUGAAGAUGAACGAUAACAAUUACAUAAACAUCAAUGAUUUAUUGCAAUUUCUUUUGUACAGAUUAUUGAUUAUACCAGUACCGCGGAUUGUCAAUGUAAGCUGGGCAUGGAUCUUGCAUUUGUAAUACCUGUGAAACUACUAAUAUUCUAUCUACGUUGAAGAUGAACGAUAACAAUUACAUAAACAUCAAUGAUUUAUUGCAAUUUCUUUUGUACAGAUUAUUGAUUAUACCAGUACCGCGGAUUGUCAAUGUAAGCUGGGCAUGGAUCUUGCAUUUGUAAUACCUGUGAAACUACUAAUAUUCUAUCUACAUUGAAGAUGAACGAUAACAAUUACAUAAACAUCAAUGAUUUAUUGCAAUUUCUUUUGUAAAGAUUAUUGAUUAUACCAGUACCGCGGAUUGUCUGGGCAUGGAUCUUGCAUUUGUAAUACCUGUGAAACUACUAAUAUUCUAUCUACGUUGAAGAUGAACGAUAACAAUUACAUAAACAUCAAUGAUUUAUUGCAAUUUCUUUUGUAAAGAUUAUUGAUUAUACCAGUACCGCGGAUUGUCAAUGUAAGCUGGGCAUGGAUCUUGCAUUUGUAAUACCUGUGAAACUACUAAUAUUCUAUCUACAUUGAAGAUGAACGAUAACAAUUACAUAAACAUCAAUGAUUUAUUGCAAUUUCUUUUGUAAAGAUUAUUGAUUAUACCAGUACCGCGGAUUGUCUGGGCAUGGAUCUUGCAUUUGUAAUACCUGUGAAACUACUAAUAUUCUAUCUACGUUGAAGAUGAACGAUAACAAUUACAUAAACAUCAAUGAUUUAUUGCAAUUUCUUUUGUACAGAUUAUUGAUUAUACCAGUACCGCGGAUUGUCAAUGUAAGCUGGGCAUGGAUCUUGCAUUUGUAAUACCUGUGAAACUACUAAUAUUCUAUCUACAUUGAAGAUGAACGAUAACAAUUACAUAAACAUCAAUGAUUUAUUGCAAUUUCUUUUGUAAAGAUUAUUGAUUAUACCAGUACCGCGGAUUGUCUGGGCAUGGAUCUUGCAUUUGUAAUACCUGUGAAACUACUAAUAUUCUAUCUACGUUGAAGAUGAACGAUAACAAUUACAUAAACAUCAAUGAUUUAUUGCAAUUUCUUUUGUACAGAUUAUUGAUUAUACCAGUACCGCGGAUUGUCAAUGUAAGCUGGGCAUGGAUCUUGCAUUUGUAAUACCUGUGAAACUAUUAAUAUUCUAUCUACAUUGAAGAUGAACGAUAACAAUUACAUAAACAUCAAUGAUUUAUUGCAAUUUCUUUUGUAAAGAUUAUUGAUUAUACCACUACCGCGGAUUGUCAAUGUAAGCUGGGCAUGGAUCUUGCAUUUGUAAUACCUGUGAAACUACUAAUAUUCUAUCUACAUUGAAGAUGAACGAUAACAAUUACAUAAACAUCAAUGAUUUAUUGCAAUUUCUUUUGUAAAGAUUAUUGAUUAUACCAGUACCGCGGAUUGUCAAUGUAAGCUGGGCAUGGAUCUUGCAUUUGUAAUACCUGUGAAACUACUAAUAUUCUAUCUACAUUGAAGAUGAACGAUAACAAUUACAUAAACAUCAAUGAUUUAUUGCAAUUUCUUUUGUAAAGAUUAUUGAUUAUACCAGUACCGCGGAUUGUCAAUGUAAGCUGGGCAUGGAUCUUGCAUUUGUAAUACCUGUGAAACUACUAAUAUUCUAUCUACAUUGAAGAUGAACGAUAACAAUUACAUAAACAUCAAUGAUUUAUUGCAAUUUCUUUUGUAAAGAUUAUUGAUUAUACCAGUACCGCGGAUUGUCAAUGUAAGCUGGGCAUGGAUCUUGCAUUUGUAAUACCUGUGAAACUAUUAAUAUUCUAUCUACAUUGAAGAUGAACGAUAACAAUUACAUAAACAUCAAUGAUUUAUUGCAAUUUCUUUUGUAAAGAUUAUUGAUUAUACCACUACCGCGGAUUGUCAAUGUAAGCUGGGCAUGGAUCUUGCAUUUGUAAUACCUGUGAAACUACUAAUAUUCUAUCUACAUUGAAGAUGAACGAUAACAAUUACAUAAACAUCAAUGAUUUAUUGCAAUUUCUUUUGUAAAGAUUAUUGAUUAUACCAGUACCGCGGAUUGUCAAUGUAAGCUGGGCAUGGAUCUUGCAUUUGUAAUACCUGUGAAACUACUAAUAUUCUAUCUACAUUGAAGAUGAACGAUAACAAUUACAU